UAAGGAAUAUUGGACAAUGCCCGCAAGGGUGAACCAGCCAUGCCGCGUGCAGGAAGACGGCCCUCUGGGUUGUAAACUGCUUUUAUUCGGGAAUAAACCUAUUUACGUGUAAAUAGCUGAAUGUACCGAAGGAAUAAGGAUCGGCUAACUCCGUGCCAGCAGCCGCGGUAAUACGGAGGUUCCAAGCGUUAUCCGGAUUUAUUGGGUUUAAAGGGUGCGUAGGCGGCUUAUUAAGUCAGUGGUGAAAGACGGUGGCUCAACCAUCGUAGUGCCCUUGAUACUGAUGAGCUUGAAUGGACUAGAGGUAGGCGGAAUGUGACAAGUAGCGGUGACAUGCAUAGAUAUGUCACAGAACACCGAUUGCGAAGGCAGCUUACUAUGGUUUAAUUGACGCUGAGGCACGAAAGCGUGGGGAUCAAACA
Molecule: ribosomal RNA, 422 nt
Filed under: uncultured bacterium
Lineage: Bacteria
Description: bacterial SSU rRNA
Rfam family: Bacterial small subunit ribosomal RNA
Source: RNAcentral